Molecule: ribosomal RNA, 263 nt
Filed under: uncultured bacterium
Lineage: Bacteria
Description: partial 16S ribosomal RNA
Rfam family: Bacterial small subunit ribosomal RNA
Source: RNAcentral
CCGUAGUGGCGGACGGUGAGUAACGCGUGGGUAACCUGCCAUAUACAGGGGGAUAACACUUAGAAAUAGGUGCUAAUACCGCAUAAGCGCACAGGGGCGCAUGCCCCGGUGUGAAAAACUCCGGUGGUAUAUGAUGGACCCGCGUCUGAUUAGCCAGUUGGCAGGGUAACGGCCUACCAAAGCGACGAUCAGUAGCCGGCCUGAGAGGGCGGACGGCCACAUUGGGACUGAGACACGGCCCAAACUCCUACGGAAGGCAGCAG